Molecule: long non-coding RNA, 807 nt
Filed under: Serinus canaria (Common canary)
Lineage: Eukaryota; Metazoa; Chordata; Aves; Passeriformes; Fringillidae
Description: lncRNA (ENSSCAG00000009361.1)
Source: RNAcentral
CCUAGAAAUGCAGGUUUGGUCCCACCACUUGAACAGCUGUAGAAUGACAAUAAGAUGGUAUGGGCAGUUUUUCUUUGCCAAGCAAAUUGCUGAAACUCAACACCAGCACAGUGGAGUCCACCAAUGGAAAACCAAAGUUUGGAACACCACAUCACCUGAAAGCAUCGCUGAUCUACAAGGUUCUUCAUUGUUCUGCCUACAAGAACCUCUGCUUAUUCUUUAGAGCUCAGCUGCCCACUGGACUCAGCUUUGUUCCAGAAAAUGCCACCAUAACACCGUGCUUCCAACAGCAAAAGGACAGACAGGAGAAAUCCCUGCUGCCUACCCAGACCUUGAGAGACUUCUUGGGACACCAGGAACCAGGAGCCUUUCCCUCUCUGUGCUGGGGAGGAGAGCUACAGGCCAUGGAGAGAGUUUGCAGCUGCCUUUGCAAACCAUCCCAGCCCUGCAGUGGUGGGCCAGCUCCCUGUCUGCAUUGCAGGUCACACCAUCAGCACCAGCACACCGGCUGGCACAGCCCAGGGAGCAGCAAAGCCUGACCUGGCACAGGGAGGAGGAGAGCAGGGCUGGGAAAUGCUUUCACCCAGGUCUACCACUGAAGCCACCACAUUGUACAACCUCAUCCUGCAAGGCUGCAGCAGCUCAAGGAUCCUGAAGAAAUCAUCCUUUGCUGCCAAGACACGUUUCUCUCUAGCAGGGACAGGAAUUCCUAUUUCCUGGGAACAAGGGAAGCUCACUAAAAACUGUUGCUUGUGUAUGACCUGCUGUCCAUUGUAGCUUCUCUAAUAAAAGCACCCAUUUCAAUCA